This 216-nucleotide unclassified non-coding RNA is filed under the name uncultured Orbiliales. RNAcentral describes it as "sequence contains ITS1". Lineage: Eukaryota; Fungi; Ascomycota; Orbiliomycetes; Orbiliales. The record is from RNAcentral.
CAAAGUACCGGCCAGUCCGGCCGCCUCUGCGAGCACCGGCAUGCCCCCCGGGGCCGUGUCGGUGUUUGACAGUUUACCCCAUGUGAAAACCCCUUGUUGCUUCGGCAGCGCCUUCCCGUCCGCGGGGAGGGUCAGCCUGCCGACGGCACCUCAGGAAACCCUUUGAACUGAAAGGAAGCAUUGAUAACGUCUGAGAGCGCAGUCGAAUGACAUAUA